GACGAACGCUGGCGGCGUGCCUAAUACAUGCAAGUCGAGCGCAGGAAACCGUCUGAACCCUUCGGGGGGACGACGAUGGAAUGAGCGGCGGACGGGUGAGUAACACGUAAAGAACCUGCCCACGGGUCUGGGAUAACCACGAGAAAUCGGGGCUAAUACCGGACGGGUCAUCAGACCGCAUGGUCCGAGGAUGAAAGGCGCUCCGGCGUCGCCCGUGGAUGGCUUUGCGGUGCAUUAACUAGUUGGUGGGGUAACGGCCCACCAAGGCGACGAUGCAUAGCCGAACUGAGAGGGUGAUCGGCCACACUGGGACUGAGACACGGCCCAGACUCCUACGGGAGGCAGCAGUAGGGAAUCUUCCACAAUGGACGAAAGUCUGAUGGAGCAACGCCGCGUGAACGAUGAAGGCCCUCGGGUCGUAAAGUUCUGUUGUAAGGGAAGAACAAGUGCCGCAGGCAAUGGCGGCACCUUGACGGUACCUUGCGAGAAAGCCACGGCUAACUACGUGCCAGCAGCCGCCGUAA
This 524-nucleotide ribosomal RNA is filed under the name uncultured bacterium. Its description in RNAcentral is "partial 16S ribosomal RNA". It matches the Rfam family "Bacterial small subunit ribosomal RNA", at positions 28 to 523 of the family's 1533-position model. The record is from RNAcentral.